GUGAAUGACAAGAGAAAAAAAUACAUGUCCUUAGCCAAAACAAAUGAAUUAUUAUUAUUAGGAAAAAAAUACAUGUAAAAAAAAUACAUGUCGCUGCAUCAGCCGCCCCACACGCACAGCGCGAUGGAACCUUAUCCCUUCCCAUCUCCUUCCCUUGUUUCUUCUCACCCUUCUUCUCCGCAACCAUGGGCAUCUUCACCUCGCAAUCUCGUCACCGGCCACAUCUCCCUCCUCCUCCUCCAACCCAGCUUCGCUCCUGGCACGGCACACGGUUACUCCUCCGGCACGCAGCAGCCAUCUGUAUUGGGUGCCAUGCUCAUACCUCAUCGAGGGGCGGCCGGCAGCAAGAUCCGUGAUGCUACUUUUGCACUGCUGCUGCGUCGACGGCGCCGUCGUGUGUUCUACCGGGGGAGGGACUGCUGGUGCUUCUAGGAAGCGGCGCCGCAGCUAGAGACGGCAACCGAUGAUGCGGCAACGGCCGGUGAUGCAGCGACGACGUCUUGACGGUGUGGCAACGGCCGAGGAUCCAGCGAAGGCAGGUCAGGGCGGCUUGCUUUCAAUCCCACGUACGAUUUUCCUUUUAUUCUUUCAAUCCCUAUCCGAUCUCUUCCCUUGAUUUAUAUAUAACUUCCCCCAUGAUCUCCGUCAUGUCCGUCCUCCUUGUAGCUUCGUUUCGGCUUUCUCUUCCAAUUCCAUUGGGCACAAAUCUUAUUUUUCCUUCAGGUCAAUAUUGAUUCUUGAGGCGGCUUAGUGACUUCAGAUUAUAGGCGUUAAUAAAUUGGUGGAACAGGAGCGAUGUGGUACUAUUUAUUAAUACUGAUAAGCAAAUAGAUCCUUUCUUUCGCAUGCGAGGCGGGACUAAUGGAAAUCAACGGAAACAAAAGGUGCACAACUGGCCCAGCUCGGCCCACGCACGAAAGUCAAAACUGCAACCCAUGCGGGGAUAUGUGGGGGAUGAACGUGAAGGACGGACUAAGAUUAAUACCACCUCAGAUAGAAAAAAAUAGAUGAGGCGAACGGACGGACGAAAUUACGGUGGUAAGAAGUGAUAGCCGCUUUAUUUUAUUAUUAUUAGGUAAAGAUAAAGAUAAAGAUAGGUCAAUAGGCAGCCCAAUAGGCUGAAUCAUAGGUGGGCCGACAGCUAAACAUGCGCCGGCCCGUUUAAUAGUAGCGUUGUGCCUGGGCCAGGGAGGACAGCACGCAUGCCGGCCCGACACGCUGUGUAGUUAGCAUGCCGUGCCUGGCUUGUAUAAUCCAGGCCGGGCCGUGCCGUGCCGGGCCAGCCCAUCUGGCCAGGUUUGGACAAAGAACACCCACCGACCCGAUGCCGACUAGAACGAGGGAAAAACUGAACCGAAACGAAACUCCGCUGAUGCAGGACUACCCUUCCCUCCUCCCGCACGGCUCUCCUCCCUCGCCCCGGCGCCUCCACUCCGGCAACCCGCCCUACCCGCCGCCAUGCCGACGCCGACGCCGACCGCCGGAACGCGGCCCGAAAACCCAAUCCCCACCGCGCGCGCCCACGCCGCCGGCUCACGCGCCUCGGCCGGGGUCCGCUCCGUCGCCCGCCUUGACGGCCCGACCGGGCCCACCACGCGCCGCCUCGGGCGCGCCCGUAUCCUGGUCGGUGCGGGCGGGGGCCUAUAUAAGCCCCUGGACGCGCGCCCGCCCGCGCCCAGGCGCUUCCCCUAUUGCGAUCGAGCCAGUUGCUGCGGUUAUGCGAAGAGGCGGUGCGGUUCCCCAGAAGCGCCGAGAUCGGAGGUUUUCGUUGGCGGCUUUCCCCGCUGGCAUUGGCUGCCGGAGGUCCCUGAAUCGGCGAACGACUCGAGCGAUUGUCGUAGGUAAAUUUCUUCUGCGUUUCUCGUGCUUGAUCAUGUCGAUUCUUCAUUGCUGUUCAUGAGUUUGGGAUUGUUCUUAUCGAAUUGGCGCCUCGAUGCUUGCAAAUUCCGGUGUAAAAAUAGCAUAACAAGAGAUCUCGAGUUGGCUCGAGACUAAACGAAUCUAAAAAAAUAGCUAAACUAAACUAAUCUGUUAUACGCCGAUAUAAUCUUCAAUCUAAAUUAAGGAAACGUUGAAAGAAUCAUAUCUUCCAGCACUUGAUUGAUCUGUUCUUUGCCGAAAUUAAUCCGAAUAACCAAUUAGACUUGCGAUCUGUAGAACAAUCACAACAAAUUUGGUACCUGUGGUAUGUCAAGAAAUCUAAAAAACAAAAAUUGAUUCCAUCUGAAUUUUCUUUCUGAUUCCACAUACUUGCUGCUAUAAUUUAUGAAUUAGGUGGUUCACUUUUCCGUUGCAAACCAAAUUGUUUAGAUUUGAAGAAAGAACACUGUAAUCUGCAUCUAAUCUGAUAUUGUUUAACAAGAAAUUGGAGUUGGCUUGAGACCAAACGAAUCUGAGAAUACCUAGACUAAACUAAUCUGUCGAUUAUAAUCUUCAAUCUUAAUUUAGGAAAACUGUGAAAGCUUAUCUCUAGCAGUUGAUUAAUCUAUUCAUUGUCAAAAUUAAUCCGAUAGUCAAUUUGAGUUGAGAUCUGUAAAAUAAUCACAACAAAUUGGUACCUGUGGUAUGUCAAGAAAUCUAAAACGUUUGUGAAAACCUAUGAUUAAGAUACUUAGAAACAACAAAAAUUUAUUCCAUCUAAAUCUAUCAUGAUAUGUUUCUGUAGCUAGCUCUAGUUAAUGUUCAGUGCUUAUUAUGAAUUUGAUUUCGUACUGAAUGCUUAGGAUCUUCCAUUGAGUUAUAUAAAUACUUAUAGCAAUUUAAAAAAUGCAGCAUAGCCCAGCUUUGUACCUAUUGGUUGACAACGUUGUCGGAAAUUUAAACUGCUACUAGAACAAAAUACAAGUUGAUGACUAAGAAUGCUGAUUGAAAAUCUACUUGUUGCUUCCUUUUCUAUGGCAUAAUCAUAGUAAGAUGGUCUUACUGUAGCAUAGCCCAGCUUUGUACCAAUUGGAUGAUAAAGUUGUCGGAAAUUUAAACUGCUAGAACAAAAUACAAGUAGAUGACUAAGAAUGCUGAUUGACAUUGUAUGCUUGCAAAUUUCCAUAUAUUGUGUACUGUUCUCGUAGCUUACUAACCUGCUCGUUCUUAAUGAUUUUUUGGUUCAUACUGUACUCACAUCUUGUUUUUGAAGGUAUUUUGGUUAUUAAAUGGCUAUUAUUGAAGCAUUGGAUAGAACACCGGCUUCUGUUACUGGGUCUUCUCCUGCAGUCAGUCCAGAAAACUUCAUCAAAUGUAUGAGGAAGUUUUAUCGGCACUGGAAGGAGGAUGAGACUGAGAUAUGGGGAUCUUCGUGUGCAAUUGCUGUUGCUACUCCUCCACCCUCUGAAGACAUUCGAUAUCAGAAAUCAUUAGCCUUGAGCACGUGGUUUUUUGGUCAUCAGUUCCUAGAAACUAUAAUGGUCUUUCUCAGUAGGCAGAUUCAUUUCCUGUGCAGCCAGAAGGACAGUGAUGUGCUUAAACCUUCGAAGAUGCUUGUUUCUAAAGAAGCCGGUGUUGAUAUCGUGUUGCAUAUACUGAAAAAGGGCGAUGAUGGAUCUGCCUUAAUGGAUGAGAUCAUACGUGCUGUAUGUGCGCAUUCUGAAUCAAACAAUGUUGUUAUUGGUCACUUAGCAAGAGAGAAGCCUGAAGGCAAGUUUCUUGAAGCAUGGUCUGAAAAGCUGCACAGAUCGAGGUUAAAGCUUUUUGAUGUGUCAAGUGGCAUCUCUGAACUUCUUGCUGUGAAAGAUGCCACCGAGAUUAUGUAUGUGAAGAAGGCUGCAUUUUUGGCUGCUUCGGUUAUGCGGAAGUAUGUAGUUUCUAAGGUGGAGAAGAUCAUAGAGGAUGAAAAGAAGAUAGCACAUUCAAAGCUGAUGGUUCUGACAGAGAAGAUACUACUUUCCCCAAUAAAUGUAGAUGUUAAACUGAAGGCAGAUAAUGUUGACAUAUGCUACCCACCUGUUUUUCAAAGUGGAGGCAAGUAUGACCUUAGGCCAUCUGCUUCUAGCAACGAUGAUGAUCUGCACUAUGAUUCUGGAAGCGUCAUCAUCUGUGCUCUGGGAGCCAAGUACAGUGGCUACUGCUCAAAUGUCGCAAGAACCUUCCUGAUUGAUUGUAAUGCAGAAAAAUGCAAUGCAUAUAAAGUCCUCCGUCAGGCGCAUGAUGCUGCUAUUGCUGCUUUGACACCAGGUAGCAAGUGUUGUUCCAGUUAUCAGGCUGCAGUUACUGUGAUCAGGGACCAAGCUCCUGAACUUCUUCCUUUCCUUACCAAGUCAGCUGGAACAGGAAUUGGCAUCGAGUUCCGUGAAUCUUGGCUGUCCUUGAGUGAGAAAAAUGGCCGGACGCUAAAGGAAGGGAUGAUUUUCAAUGUUUCACUUGGGUUUCAAAACCUUAUAGACAAGACCAACAAUGAGAAGACCAAGGAAUUCUCCCUAUGGCUGGCUGACACUGUUCUGGUCUGCAAGGAAAAUCCAAAAGUCUUGACAUCUUUUAUCUCCAAGGCUGACAGCGAUGCCUUCUACUUAUUUGAUGAGGAAAAUGCAGGAUUACCUGCUGUGAAACAAGCUCCGAAAGCAAACGUUAUGGUCCCGGUUAAACCAGUGCUAAAUCCAUUGAGAGAAAAUCUGCGAUCCCAUAGCAGGACACCUAAGGAGGAACUUAGGAAACAGCUUCAGUCAGAAAUCUUAAAGAAGAAAACAAGUGAGGCAGCAGUGAGAAGUGACGUUGCUGAUCAUAAGUUGUUGGAGGGGCUUGGUCGUUCCAGAGCUAUGGAUGAACUGGUUGCAUAUAAGAAUGCAAAUGAUGUGCCUGUUUCCAAUCGACUGGACAUUAUUCAGGUGGACAAACAGAAUGAGGCUAUCCUGUUACCAAUAUAUGGAGUUACUGUUCCCUUUCAUGUUUGUACCAUAAAAAAAGCAGAAAUUCGUGGGGAAAGCAGCAGUGGAGUUUAUGUCAGCAUUACAUUUAAUGUCCCUGGCACUGCUUCUGGUCUUCAAGAUCCCCGCUUGCAGAACCUUAUUUUUUUGAAAGCAGUCACCUUCCUCUCAAAAAACAGAAGUCAUGCUGAAGAGGUUAUUAAAUCGGUGAAGACUGUUCAAAAAGGAGUCACCGAAAGAGCUAGGAGAGCGAGCUUGGUUAGUCAGGAAAGGCUUCAACUAUGUGACGGAAUGAGCAGGGAUAGGAUUCAGUUUCCUGAUUUGUGGAUACGGCCAUCGUUUGGUGGCCGUGGGCGGAAGGUCGCUGGAACUUUGGUGGCCCAUGUCAAUGGUUUUCAAUAUUCUGCAUCGAAAACUGAAAAGGUGGAUAUUAUGUUCAGCAACAUAAAACAUGCCUUCUUCCAGCCAGCUGAGAGAGACAUGAUAACGCUGCUCCACUUCCAUCUGUACAAUGAAAUCAUGGUGGGCAACAAGAAGACUAGAGAUGUGCAGUUCUACACUGAAGUGAUGGAUGUUGUGGACGCGGUUGGUCUUAAGCGCCAUUCAGCACGGGACCCUGAUGAGAUUGAGGAAGAGCAGCGUGAUAGGGCACGAAGGAAGAAAAUAAAUGGACAGUUUGAGCUGUUUGUGAAAAGGGUUGUUUCCGUUUGGUCGCAGCCAAGAUUUCAGCAGCUCGGCUUACAUUUUGAAAGGCCAUCACAGAAGCUUGGCUUCAAUGGAGUCCAUGGCAGAACAACUUGUUUUAUAGUUCCUACUCCUAGUUGCCUGGUACAGCUUGUUGAGUCACCGUUUCUUGUGACUUCGUUGAGGGAGGUCGAGAUAGUAUGCUUGGAAAGGGUGGCCCUGGGGCAGAAAUCCUUCGACAUGGUGUUUGUAUUUCAAGAUUUAAAGCGAGAUGUUGUCCGCAUAGAGGUCAUUCCAAUGGCAUCUCUUGACAAGAUCAAAGAUUGGCUUAAUGACAGCAACUUGAAGUACUAUGAAUCAAAGCUGAACCUCAACUGGCGAAUGGUCCUCAAGAAGCUCGACGAGCCAGGUUGUGACACAAAUGACAGGUGGGAAUUCUUGAAUCCAGAUGCUACUGACUCAGAUUCAGAGGAUUCUGAGACAGACGAUGACAAGUACGAACCUUCUGAAGCGGAGUCAGCCUCUGAUUCGGAUGAUGAAGACAGCGACAGCGAAUCAGUGGUGGAUUCUGGCGAGGAUGAGGCUAUCUCGGCUGGCUCAGAUGACGACGACGACGACGACGACGCUGCCGAGUCAUGGGACGAGAUGGAGCGCAAGGCGAGGGAUGCCGACAUGGAGAUGGGCAGCGAAUCCGACAGCGAAGACGAGAGGCAGCGGCGGAGGGAGAAAGCAAAACGGCAGUUGAAUCCCCAGCAGUCCAAGGGUGUUCCCCAGAAGAGGCAGCGUGUCAACUGAAGGCUAGAUUUCGGUUCCUCCUAGCAGUAGUAGUAGUUUCGAUUUCACUGCGAGUUUUUAUCCAUGCCCUUUUGGCGUCUGUCGUCUCCAGUAGUGGUGUUGACUUAUUGCUAUAUACUUCCAGCUAGCGGUUUUGCAUAUUUCGAAGACUAAAGUUCUAAAUAUAUGCCCCUAUCAUUUCUAACACGUCAUGUUUUCUGCUUGCUGGUUUUCACUUGAGCACACUACUUUUUCUCAUUGUUCGUGACACAGUUGAAACUUACUCCUAUUUUCGUG
Molecule: ribosomal RNA, 6608 nt
Filed under: Triticum aestivum (bread wheat)
Lineage: Eukaryota; Viridiplantae; Streptophyta; Magnoliopsida; Poales; Poaceae
Description: partial small subunit ribosomal RNA
Source: RNAcentral